RNAcentral lists this long non-coding RNA (275 nucleotides) under Elaeis guineensis (African oil palm). RNAcentral's name for it is "long non-coding RNA (EGUI_LNC008628)". The record is from RNAcentral. Lineage: Eukaryota; Viridiplantae; Streptophyta; Magnoliopsida; Arecales; Arecaceae.
UAUUAUUAUUAUUAUUAUUUUUAAUCUGGGUUAUUACAACCAAUCCUGCAAGCUAGCUAUGACACUUGACUUAGAGCCACUUAGCUAUGACUAUAUCUAGGUUUUCCAAUUACCAAUUUUCGCUUGAGCCUGGAGUUCUCAUUGGGAGAGGAAUGGCAACUAUAGCUGGAAUAAGGCUGGUUUAUACUACUAUGAGAAUUGGUAUUGUCUGGUCUAACUUAAUACAACGAUUUCUUCUUGUCACAAUGAUGUUAGCACUGCAUCAUGAUCCAAUU